This 74-nucleotide transfer RNA is filed under the name Glaciihabitans tibetensis. It matches the Rfam family "tRNA". From Rfam's summary of the family: Transfer RNA (tRNA) molecules are approximately 80 nucleotides in length. Their secondary structure includes four short double-helical elements and three loops (D, anti-codon, and T loops). Further hydrogen bonds mediate the characteristic L-shaped molecular structure. tRNAs have two regions of fundamental functional importance: the anti-codon, which is responsible for specific mRNA codon recognition, and the 3' end, to which the tRNAs corresponding amino acid is attached (by aminoacyl-tRNA synthetases). tRNAs cope with the degeneracy of the genetic code in two manners: having more than one tRNA (with a specific anti-codon) for a particular amino acid; and 'wobble' base-pairing, i.e. permitting non-standard base-pairing at the 3rd anti-codon position. The record is from Rfam by way of RNAcentral. Lineage: Bacteria; Bacillati; Actinomycetota; Actinomycetes; Micrococcales; Microbacteriaceae.
CGCGACGUACCCAAGUGGUCUAAGGGAACGGUCUCAUAACCCGUUAAUCGCAGGUUCGAAUCCUGCCGCCGCGU